RNAcentral lists this ribosomal RNA (447 nucleotides) under uncultured bacterium. RNAcentral describes it as "SSU rRNA". It matches the Rfam family "Bacterial small subunit ribosomal RNA", at positions 26 to 518 of the family's 1533-position model. The record is from RNAcentral.
AGAACGAACGCUGGCGGCAGGCUUAACACAUGCAAGUCGAACGCUCGUAGCAAUACGGGAGUGGCAGACGGGUGAGUAACGCGUGGGAACAUACCCUCCGGUUCGGAAUAGCUCAGGGAAACUUGGAUUAAUACCGGAUACGGCUGUGAGGCGAAAGAUUUAUCGCCGGAGGAUUGGCCCGCGUUCGAUUAGCUUGUUGGUGAGGUAACGGCUCACCAAGGCGAUGAUCGAUAGCUGGUCUGAGAGGAUGAUCAGCCACAUUGGGACUGAGACACGGCCCAAACUCCUACGGGAGGCAGCAGUGGGGAAUAUUGGACAAUGGGCGCAAGCCUGAUCCAGCCAUGCCGCGUGAGUGAUGACGGCCUUAGGGUUGUAAAGCUCUUUCGCUCGGGACGAUAAUGACGGUACCGAGAUAAGAAGCCCGGCUAACUUCGCGCCAGCAGCCGC